RNAcentral lists this ribosomal RNA (837 nucleotides) under Triticum aestivum (bread wheat). Its description in RNAcentral is "partial small subunit ribosomal RNA". The record is from RNAcentral. Lineage: Eukaryota; Viridiplantae; Streptophyta; Magnoliopsida; Poales; Poaceae.
AUGGAACAAUGGUUCCAGUUGGAGGAAAUUGCCAAAAGCAUUAGCUUUACUGCCGAGCCGGAUGCCCUGAUUUGGCAGCUGGACAAUAAGGGGAAGUGUUCCUCCAGCUCCCUCUAUCAUGUUAUCAACUUUAGAGGGGUUCAACCCGUGUUUAUCCCUGCUGUUUGGAAAUUGAGAGUUCCCCCUAAAAUUCAUGUAUUUCCCUGGCUUCUCUCCAAAAACAAAUUGACGACUAGGGAUAACAUUAGGAAGAGACACAUCAUCAAACCCCUUGAUUGUGUUUACUGCUUGGAACAAGAGUCUUGUUCUCACCUAUUUUUUGAAUUUAUAGUUGCUAAACAUCUCUCGCCCCACAUUGAGGAAUAUUUCUCUAGUCACAUUGGCUCAUCCUUCGAAUCUGUCGCCAGAUUCUGGAUUGCUACCAAAAAGUGCUCAGUUUUAAACACUGUUAGCUCAGCUGUCCUUUGAUGCCUCUGGAAAUAUAGAAAUGCUAUGAUUUUCAGUAACACCUCCAGGAUUUCCAUUCCACAGGUCUUGAGGUUGAUCAGGAACAUGGUGAGGAACUGGGCGAUUCUCUCGUCCUGAUCGGACAAGGACAAGUUGAUGAGCUUCGUGGAAACCCUAACAAGAUCCCUCCAGAAACUAUUGGCGAUCACUUGUGGCUCAACAAGGCUCGACCUACUCUGGGGCUGGACCCGUGGGCUCGUCUCAAGAUCUCUGAUGAAGAUGAUGGGCACCUGGCACCGAAAAAGAGGGACAUCCACCAUGCUAUGCCUUCCAGCCCGGUGUCUCCGCUUGCUUACUAGUCACCGCAUGCUGACACGGCCCCUCGGCUGA